Molecule: non-coding RNA, 62 nt
Filed under: Pseudo-nitzschia fraudulenta
Lineage: Eukaryota; Bacillariophyta; Bacillariophyceae; Bacillariales; Bacillariaceae
Source: RNAcentral
AUGGAGGCCUUGCGUGAGGCUGGUGUGCAGAGCAAGGAGGACUUCUCUGUCUUCGUUGACGG